This 92-nucleotide transfer RNA is filed under the name Croceicoccus marinus. RNAcentral's name for it is "tRNA-Ser". It matches the Rfam family "tRNA". Rfam says of the family: Transfer RNA (tRNA) molecules are approximately 80 nucleotides in length. Their secondary structure includes four short double-helical elements and three loops (D, anti-codon, and T loops). Further hydrogen bonds mediate the characteristic L-shaped molecular structure. tRNAs have two regions of fundamental functional importance: the anti-codon, which is responsible for specific mRNA codon recognition, and the 3' end, to which the tRNAs corresponding amino acid is attached (by aminoacyl-tRNA synthetases). tRNAs cope with the degeneracy of the genetic code in two manners: having more than one tRNA (with a specific anti-codon) for a particular amino acid; and 'wobble' base-pairing, i.e. permitting non-standard base-pairing at the 3rd anti-codon position. RNAcentral also lists the same sequence under 3 other names. The record is from RNAcentral. Lineage: Bacteria; Pseudomonadati; Pseudomonadota; Alphaproteobacteria; Sphingomonadales; Erythrobacteraceae.
GGAGACGUGGGUGAGUGGCUGAAACCAGUUCCCUGCUAAGGAACCAGACGGGGUAACCUGUCUCGAGGGUUCGAAUCCCUCCGUCUCCGCCA